This 315-nucleotide small nuclear RNA is filed under the name Pogona vitticeps (central bearded dragon). Its description in RNAcentral is "7SK RNA (ENSPVIG00000024785.1)". The stretch from base 1 to 201 matches the Rfam family "7SK RNA". Rfam says of the family: 7SK was discovered as an abundant small nuclear RNA in the mid-70s but a possible function has only recently been suggested. Two independent studies have found that 7SK RNA binds the CDK9/cyclin T complex (known as elongation factor P-TEFb). The record is from RNAcentral. Lineage: Eukaryota; Metazoa; Chordata; Lepidosauria; Squamata; Agamidae.
GGAUGUGAGGGCGAUCUGGCUGCGACAUCUGUCACCCCAUUGAUCGCCAGGGUUGAUUCGGCUGAUCUGGCUGGCUAGGCGGGUGUCGCCUUCCUCCCUCACCGCUCCAUGUGCGUCCCUCCCGAAGCUGCGCGCUCGGUGGAAGAGGACGACCAUCCCAGAUAGAAGGAGUGUACCGUUCUUCGGUCAAGGGUAUAGUUAACCAGUUAGUGGAUCAGCAUAGGUAAAAUGGCAGGCCAUUUCCAGCUUAAUAGAACACAAGUUGUGCAGGCCUGAUCUAAAUGUUGUCAUAUUCUGUGGAAUGCUUGAAUCCAU